CGAGGAAGCCGCUGCUGCAUUUUACAGACUUGCCCAGUUUCCGCGAACCAUCGGAGCAAUCGAUUGCACCCAUGUGAAGAUACAAUCACCUGGUGGAGAAUUAAGCGAAGGUUUUCGAAAUCGUAAAGGAUGGUUUUCACUGAAUGUGCAAACAAUAUCAUCGGCCGAUUUGAAAAUUUUGAACGUUGUUGCACGUUGGGCGGGAUCUGUGCACGACCAAACAAUAUUCCGUCAUUCAAAUGUCCGAGCAAGAUUUGAAGGUGGUGAAUUCGGGAAUCAUAUAUUAAUCGGGGACUCGGGAUACGCAAAUACCCGUUAUUUGGCAACUCCGUUUACAGCAAGC
Long non-coding RNA from Episyrphus balteatus (marmalade hoverfly), 343 nucleotides. RefSeq lists it as uncharacterized. Lineage: Eukaryota; Metazoa; Arthropoda; Insecta; Diptera; Syrphidae. The record is from RefSeq and is a predicted model, not a curated record. The transcript has 3 exons.